Vicia faba (fava bean) is the source of this 393-nucleotide non-coding RNA. NCBI's taxonomy places the organism in Eukaryota, Viridiplantae, Streptophyta, Magnoliopsida, Fabales, Fabaceae. The record is from the annotation of a GenBank genome assembly.
AUGCUGAUUAUCAUCCCCUUUCAUCCUCUCAUGCCAGCUCUUAUCCACUGCCUCAUGGUAGCCAUCUAUUUUAGUGACUGCAUUUAUGAACUUAAACCCAAAUUUGGGUCUAGUACUGUUAUCUUCCCCUUUAAUACACACCAGAGCAUGGUCAAAUACACCAGGUUCCAGCAUAUACAUAGAUUUAUCAUUGUUUUGCUAUAUCCACUCAAUAUUACCAAUAACCCUGUCAAUGCAAGAGUAAAUAGCUCCUUCAGUAUGCUUGUUAUACCAGGUAUACCUUUCCCCCUUUCUUUCAAUUUCAAAGAGACCUGUAUCAGUCAUCAUAUCCCUAAGGUCUAUGAACUCAUUCUCUCUAACCUCUUGACCACCAAUUCUAUCUUGCAUUCCUAG